Long non-coding RNA from Bubalus bubalis (water buffalo), 1654 nucleotides. RefSeq lists it as uncharacterized. The record is from RefSeq and is a predicted model, not a curated record. Lineage: Eukaryota; Metazoa; Chordata; Mammalia; Artiodactyla; Bovidae. The transcript is spliced from 2 exons.
GCUUUUGGCACCUGCCUGGAGGAGGAGUCUGGACCCUCCUUGGCUAACCCCACCCACCCUCCAUCACCAUGGCAACCAUGCAGGUGAGCCUCAUCACUGCUAAUCCUCUAAUUACCAGCCACCUCUUCAAUCGGCUGUAAUUACUUUGGGGACACAGUUAACCUCUCAUUAGGAACGCACGGCCGCUUUCUCCAAAAGCGCAGCAGUGACAUGCCUAGUAAUUUACCGCCCCGGCUCGCAGGGCCGCUUUGUGUUUAACUCGGGCGCCAUCGCAUCCCUGUCAUUACUCCAGCCUGGUUGUCAUGACGAUUAAUCAUUCAAUCCCUCAUCAGCAACUUUUGCCAAAUGUCACCCCGCUCUUGAUCAAAAUCCAUCCUGGAGCCCGACACUGGGGGACUAAUGACUUGGAAAUAGGCUUCUCCAUUCCAGACAGCUUUCCCCCAGGACUCCUCAGCUCCCUCCAGGAAAGGGAGAGGGGGCCCCGAGUUCAGUGUGGUGGGGGGUGAGGGGCACAGAAAAACCAGCAUGUAUCGGGCGCUGGCUCCCUGCUAGGCACCUGAGGGGCACUGAUCCUUUUAACCCUCAGAACCACUGGAGUGCUGCAAGGGAGGCUGGUGGUUUGCCAGCAAGGAAGUUUGGAGAGAUUCUAACUCAGACCUGUCUGACUCCAAAGCUGAGAUCUUUUUUUUUUUUUUUUUAAUAUCAAACCUCAAGGAGAAUGAGCCUUCCCAACUAGCAAGGAUCCUACAAUGUCAGAGUUUGGGCAGCAUUGUAGAAAUUAGCCGGCCCAUUAAAUUCAAGGCAAAAAUGCCUUAAGAGACAACUCUGGGCACUUUAUGAUAAGAAACCCAAUCCAGCGACUUCCCUGGUAGUCCAGUGGUUAAAAAUCCACCUUGUGUUGCAGGGGACACUGGUUAGAUCCCUGGUUGGAGAACUAAGAUCCCAUACGCCAUGAGGCAAUUAAGCCCAAGUGGGGCAACAAAGAUUCCACGUACUGCAACUAAGACCCAGGCAGUCAAAUAAAUAAAUAAGUAAAAAAAAAAAAAAAAAAAAAGAAACCCAAUCCAGAGCGAAUACCUAACUGUCAUGAACAUCUGUGUCCCAAACAACACGGGAACAACACCCAGCAGACAGCAACCUCAGAACCCAGGUGAUGAAACAGGCUCAGCCAUACUUGGACUGACUUGGGUUCAGAUCUCAACUCUCUCACGCUGCAGCUGUAUGCCUCUGGGCUAAUAUAAGGACCCUUAGAGCUUUAUGAUGGACUUUAGUGGCUGACGAACUCCCUGAAAUACAAGCUGCAUUGCCAUUAGCUGAGGCAUGUGGGGUCUCAGCUCCCCAACCAGGGAUCGAGCUUGCACUUCCCCGCAUCGGAAGGCAAAAUCUCAGCCACUGGACUGCCAAGGAAGUCCCCCCUGUGCUUUUUAAUAUCAUGUUGCCUCCUCGGAGAAGUCUUUGAUCAGUUUUAUACCAAUAGGUAUUGAUACUACAGCCUUGAAAGUACUUCCUUGAAGCUACCAGCCCACCAUAAAGUUACCAGCAUUCCACCCCCCGCGCCCACCCCUCACCCCAGCUUUGCUCACUAGACCUUCCACGCGAGCAACAUAGUAACAACACAGUAAUAAUCAAGAUAAUAAUAAAUAUUGUCUUUCCA